GAAAACAUCAUGGUGGACGACUAAUGACCUAUCAUGUGAGUUCAUAACAAUUAUACGUAGCAUAGAUUAAAAGAAUAAUAACAAUAGCAGGAAAUGAGUAUGGAAUGAACGUAAGCACUACCUUAGACAGUUGGCAUAAAGAAACAUAAACAUGGUGAGAUUUUAUGCAUAAGCUAACAAUUUUUUAAGGCCUCUGAUAGAAAAGAAGAGACAUUACAUUGGGGAAUAAAAUAGGGUUUCUAAUAUAACAACAACUACAACAACAACAAGCUGCAAUGUUCCAACUACUUGGAGUGGGACAAUGUAUCUUUUCCUGUCAUUGAGCUCUAAGCAAUGCAAUAUCUCUAGUUAAAUUAAGAGAACUCAACCAUCUUGUUAUAGUUCUAAAGUGCCAAGGUCCCUCUUCCACUUUAAUCACCCCACCUUUACUCAAUGAACAAUGUCUUCAUCAAUACUUCUUGCUACUGAUCUACUUUAUAAACAAUCGUAGUGACGUACAUAUAUUUUAUCAAAUCAAAAUAAUUAUUGUUUAAUCCUCUCUUUUCUAAAAUGUGUCAUCACAAAUCUCUAGAAAGUCGAUCAUACUUUGUUUUUGAGUCAAUGAAAACCAUGUAAAAAUCUUUCUUCUCUCUAUAUAGUUUUAGUUGUCACAAUAAACAAAUAGCAUUCAAGAUUGAUCUUCCGCGCAUAAAAUCAAAUUAAUUCUAAAAAUAGCCAUUCACAUCUUAUUUUUACUGAAUCACCCUUUUUAAGAGUUCCAUGAUAUGACACAAUAGUUUGAUCUCUCUAUGGUUAGAGGAGUUUAAAAUCUCUCCUGUUCAUGUAAAUUAGUAAUAAAAAGCUCUUUCUCAAUACAUUAUACACCCUUUUUAUCCUCAAUUUUUUGUUAAAAAAAUUAGUCAACAAUGUACCUUUUGAUCUCCUAAACUAUUCCACAUCCUAAUAGGGAUAUCAUCAUAUUUAUGCUCUUACCUAAUUUGCUAACUUUAAAAUUUUCUUCAGUUAAUGUUUCUAAUUAUACAAAUAAAUCUAUAAUUUCUAAACUUCUAGUUCAACAAUAUACCUUUUGAUCUCCUAAACUCUUCCACACCCUAAUAGGGUAACAAUCGUAUCUACACUCUU
RNAcentral lists this long non-coding RNA (1122 nucleotides) under Musa acuminata (dwarf banana). RNAcentral describes it as "long non-coding RNA (MACU_LNC004851)". Lineage: Eukaryota; Viridiplantae; Streptophyta; Magnoliopsida; Zingiberales; Musaceae. The record is from RNAcentral.